CCUACGGGAGGCAGCAGUGAGGAAUAUUGGACAAUGGGCGCAAGCCUGAUCCAGCCAUGCCGCGUGCAGGAAGAAGCAUCUAUGGUGUGUAAACUGCUUUUGUACAGGAAGAAACACUCCCUCGUGAGGGAGCUUGACGGUACUGUAAGAAUAAGGACCGGCUAACUCCGUGCCAGCAGCCGCGGUAAUACGGAGGGUCCGAGCGUUAUCCGGAAUCAUUGGGUUUAAAGGGUCCGUAGGCGGUUUAAUAAGUCAGUGGUGAAAUCUGGUCGCUCAACGAUCAAACGGCCAUUGAUACUGUUAGACUUGAAUUAUAAGGAAGUAACUAGAAUAUGUAGUGUAGCGGUGAAAUGCUUAGAUAUUACAUGGAAUACCAAUUGCGAAGGCAGGUUACUACUUAUGGAUUGACGCUGAUGGACGAAAGCGUGGGGAGCGAACAGGAUUAGAUACCCUGGUAGUCCACGCCGUAAACGAUGGAUACUAGCUGUUCGGAGCAAUCUGAGUGGCUAAGCGAAAGUGAUAAGUAUCCCACCUGGGGAGUACGUUCGCAAGAAUGAAACUCAAAGGAAUUGACCGGNNGAGAGNGCGAGACGACGACGAGGAGGAGG
RNAcentral lists this ribosomal RNA (608 nucleotides) under uncultured bacterium. RNAcentral describes it as "bacterial SSU rRNA". It matches the Rfam family "Bacterial small subunit ribosomal RNA", at positions 338 to 947 of the family's 1533-position model. The record is from RNAcentral.